GAGUUUGAUCGUGGCUCAGGAUGAACGCUGGCGGCGUGCCUAACACAUGCAAGUCGAGCGAAGCAUACAGGAGGAAGUUUUCGGAUGGAAUCCUGCAUGGCUGAGCGGCGGACGGGUGAGUAACGCGUGGGUAACCUGCCUUAUACAGGGGGAUAACAGUUAGAAAUGACUGCUAAUACCGCAUAAGCGCACAGUACCGCAUGGUAGUGUGUGAAAAACUCCGGUGGUAUAAGAUGGACCCGCGUCUGACUAGCCAGUUGGCGAGGUAACGGCUCACCAAGGCGACGAUCAGUAGCUGGUCUGAGAGGAUGAUCCGCCACACUGGGACUGAGACACGGCCCAGACUCUACGGGAGCAGCAGUGGG
RNAcentral lists this ribosomal RNA (365 nucleotides) under uncultured microorganism. RNAcentral's name for it is "bacterial SSU rRNA". It matches the Rfam family "Bacterial small subunit ribosomal RNA", at positions 9 to 358 of the family's 1533-position model. The record is from RNAcentral.